RNAcentral lists this long non-coding RNA (514 nucleotides) under Nicotiana tabacum (common tobacco). RNAcentral describes it as "long non-coding RNA (NTAB_LNC010853)". Lineage: Eukaryota; Viridiplantae; Streptophyta; Magnoliopsida; Solanales; Solanaceae. The record is from RNAcentral.
UUUUACAAUUUACAGAAUUUUCAAUAAUUUCUAUUGGUUCUUCACUUGGAAUUGAUAGCACUUGUUCUUCUGCGUCCUCGUUGUCUCGGUAGAUAGUAUUUUACUAUAGACAUCGUUGUCUUCUUGAAUUAUUUUUGGGAGACCAAAGUUUCUUCUCUUCAAUUAUUUCAGCAAGUCUUCAUCGCAAAUAUUACUUCUAACCGUUCUUCUAGGAAAACCUGGAAAAGCACAAGCACGAUUAUACAUCUCUUGUAUGUAACUCCUAACCGGAUUGAUUAGGAUUUGUUUCAAAACAAGGACCUCCCCCUCCCUAGCAUUACCCUUAGUAGAUCUAUUACACACUUUUUUACUAGUUUAAGAGCCAUUUUUAAUAAUAGAUAAAUAAAAUUACAACAAAUAGCAACAUAAGUAUAACAAGAAUAAAUGCGAAAAUUAAUAUGAGUUGGAAUGAAUAUACCAAACACCGACGUAAACGCCAACGUUAAUUGCAAUUAGAAAUUGAGAGAGCUAUGAG